Molecule: long non-coding RNA, 646 nt
Organism: Drosophila gunungcola (fruit fly)
Lineage: Eukaryota; Metazoa; Arthropoda; Insecta; Diptera; Drosophilidae
Exons: 2
Source: RefSeq, a predicted model, not a curated record
UUAAAAUGGAAAUAAUUUUGCUUUAAAACCGGUGUCAGCGCCAGCGAAAAAUGUUAUCAUUUUUAACCGGUUUGCGUUUGGCAACAUUUGCUGCCCAUCAGUUGAUCCCAUGUUUUGGGCUUGUAGACUUUUAAUUGCAUCUGGUCAAUGGAAGAACUGGUCAAAUUUAACUUUGAUAUGCUAGCGCAAUAUUCAAAUGGCUUACAAGAUCUUAACUCUUAAGAAAUAAAUACCACUAACUAUCUAUCACGGAUUAAAAUGAACCUAUUGUAGAAUCCAUAUGUGUUCAAAAUAGUUAUUCAAGUGCAGUGGCUUAUUAAGAAAUGUUGUUUGGGAAUAAGUGCAACACGUGCAACACUGAUGCAGAACGCGCUGCAAUUUUGCUCCAGUGGCAAGCACCCAAAACCAUGGAGUAAAAUGGAGAUAUUAUGCUGGUCAACUGCAUCUCUGUAGCUGCCGAGGUCAUUAACCCCUUAUUGGCAGAGUAUGCACCUGUAACAGAAAAAUCUGCCUGCAACAAAUGCGUGAAGGCGCACAUCAAUAAAAUGGCCACAGUAACCAUCGAUGCUAAAAACAUCAGCAGGCUAGAUGAAUGAACAUUUGAAUUGCAAAGAAGAGGAAUGUAAUAAAUGCAAUUAAAUUAUCA